UACGUAGGUGGCAAGCGUUGUCCGGAAUUAUUGGGCGUAAAGCGCGCGUAGGCGGUCCUUUAAGUCUGAUGUGAAAGCCCACGGCUCAACCGUGGAGGGUCAUUGGAAACUGGGGGACUUGAGUACAGAAGAGAAGAGUGGAAUUCCACGUGUAGCGGUGAAAUGCGUAGAUAUCUGGAGGAACACCGGUGGCGAAGGCGGCAUCCUGGACCAAUUCUGACGCUGAGGAGCGAAAGCCAGGGGAGCAAACGGG
RNAcentral lists this ribosomal RNA (253 nucleotides) under uncultured bacterium. RNAcentral describes it as "partial 16S ribosomal RNA". It matches the Rfam family "Bacterial small subunit ribosomal RNA", at positions 524 to 776 of the family's 1533-position model. The record is from RNAcentral.